GACGAACGCUGGCGGCGUGCUUAACACAUGCAAGUCGAACGGAAAGGCCCUGAGUUUGUGCGGUGCUCGAGUGGCGAACGGGUGAGCAUCACGUGAGUAACCUGCUCUUGACUUUGGGAGAAAUUCAGGAAACUGGGGCUAAUACCGGAUAGGAGCUCCUGUUGCAGGGUGGGGGAUGGAAAGUUUCGGCGGUUGGGGAUGGACUGGCGGCUUAUCAGCUAGUUGGGGGGGUAGUGGCUUACCAAGGCUUUGACGGAUAGCCGGCAUGAGAGGGUGUACGGCCACCUUGGGCCUUAGCUACGGCCCAGACUGCAACGGGAGGCAACAGUGGGAAAUCUUGCACAGUGGGCGGAAGCCUGAUGCAGCGACGCCCCGAGCGGAAAGCCGGCCUUCGGGUUGUAAACCGCUUUCGCCUGUGACGAAGCGUGUGUGACGGUACUGGAUCAAGAAGCACCGGCUAACUACGUG
This 468-nucleotide ribosomal RNA is filed under the name uncultured bacterium. Its description in RNAcentral is "partial 16S ribosomal RNA". It matches the Rfam family "Bacterial small subunit ribosomal RNA", at positions 28 to 507 of the family's 1533-position model. The record is from RNAcentral.